Molecule: ribosomal RNA, 860 nt
Filed under: Salmonella enterica subsp. enterica
Lineage: Bacteria; Pseudomonadati; Pseudomonadota; Gammaproteobacteria; Enterobacterales; Enterobacteriaceae
Description: partial 23S ribosomal RNA
Rfam family: Bacterial large subunit ribosomal RNA
Source: RNAcentral
AGACCCGAAACCCGGUGAUCUAGCCAUGGGCAGGUUGAAGGUUGGGUAACACUAACUGGAGGACCGAACCGACUAAUGUUGAAAAAUUAGCGGAUGACCUGUGGCUGGGGGUGAAAGGCCAAUCAAACCGGGAGAUAGCUGGUUCUCCCCGAAAGCUAUUUAGGUAGCGCCUCGUGAAUUCAUCUCCGGGGGUAGAGCACUGUUUCGGCUAGGGGGCCAUCCCGGCUUACCAACCCGAUGCAAACUGCGAAUACCGGAGAAUGUUAUCACGGGAGACACACGGCGGGUGCUAACGUCCGUCGUGAAGAGGGAAACAACCCAGACCGCCAGCUAAGGUCCCAAAGUCAUGGUUAAGUGGGAAACGAUGUGGGAAGGCCCAGACAGCCAGGAUGUUGGCUUAGAAGCAGCCAUCAUUUAAAGAAAGCGUAAUAGCUCACUGGUCGAGUCGGCCUGCGCGGAAGAUGUAACGGGGCUAAACCAUGCACCGAAGCUGCGGCAGCGACGCUUAUGCGUUGUUGGGUAGGGGAGCGUUCUGUAAGCCUGUGAAGGUGGCCUGUGAGGGUUGCUGGAGGUAUCAGAAGUGCGAAUGCUGACAUAAGUAACGAUAAAGCGGGUGAAAAGCCCGCUCGCCGGAAGACCAAGGGUUCCUGUCCAACGUUAAUCGGGGCAGGGUGAGUCGACCCCUAAGGCGAGGCCGAAAGGCGUAGUCGAUGGGAAACGGGUUAAUAUUCCCGUACUUGGUGUUACUGCGAAGGGGGGACGGAGAAGGCUAUGUUGGCCGGGCGACGGUUGUCCCGGUUUAAGCGUGUAGGUGUGUGUUCCAGGUAAAUCCGGUUCACUUUAACACUGAGGCGUGAUGA